This 2351-nucleotide long non-coding RNA is filed under the name Amborella trichopoda. RNAcentral describes it as "long non-coding RNA (ATRI_LNC000805)". Lineage: Eukaryota; Viridiplantae; Streptophyta; Magnoliopsida; Amborellales; Amborellaceae. The record is from RNAcentral.
CAUGACCCACAAUCUAUGCAGGAGAUCAUUAGUGGGUCACCAAAGUCUAGCCAAUAGGCAAUGCGUCGUAGUCCCAGUCUAUAGAUUUUAGGUUCUCCCUUAGAGACGAACCAAAGUCACCCAUAUCUUGAUGCAAUCCAUUGCUCGAUAGUGUAUAAGGGUUAUCUCUCGCACAUACAUACGUUUCACUACGAAAAGGUGAUUCAUUUUCCCGAAAACGACUAUCAAUGUGCAUGUCGUGUGAUUGUAUGUGGAUGAGACUUUGGCUCCGUUUCUAAAAGCCUCCAUCAUACACAAAAGGUCACACAGUCCAUCAGUUCACUCAUCCAAGCAUAGUCCGAUUUCAUCAAAGGAUGACCAUCAUAACCUUCAUCGGUUUAGUUUUCUAUGCCCAAGUAAUAUGGGUUUUUCUCAACUAGACUGGCCUAACACAUUAAACACAGUUCGGUUUCAACAAAUAUAAUUUGCUUAGUAUAGUCCACAUGGGACCUUACUCCUACUAAGUUCAUAUUCCACUAUAUACAUUCAUGUACAAUCACUCAUAAAGCCUUUUAAUGGCCAUACUCACGUAGCAUAAGUCAUGCGAUUGAGCCCCAUGAAGCAAUUUGAAAUUCCGGUCAAAUUAGUAGUGGAACCAAAUUUGACUUAACUAGAUCUCUUACGUGUUUGGUAGUUGGUUUUUUCAUCUUUAUUUUUUAUUGCAAAUGCCUAUAUAUGGUGCUUCAAUAGGACCAAAUUGUGUAUGUCGUCUCACAACAUAAAACCUAGUCAGGUGGUUCAUUUGGCGUAUGACUAUCUUUUUUUCUUCUUUUUUACAAGUGUUAACAACUUUAUUAAUGAAAGAUAAUUACAAUAGAUGAAUUACAUCAUCAUAAACCAAAAGAGAUGGCAAGGAUACACCCACUGUCACAAAGGAAUCAGCUAGAGAAUUUGCCUUCCUAUACGCAUGAUGGAAUGAAAUACUAAAAGAGAAUUUGGCUUCCUAUACGCAUGAUGGAAUGAAAGAGUCCGUGACUCAGCCAUAUCAAGAACUUGUAACCAAACUGAUUUUAGUUCCUAAAGCACUCUCUGCUCCCUGUUGCACAAUUUAAUCACAUUCAUCGAAUCACCUUCCACCGAGCAAAAGACCCCGAAAUUUUUGCUUAUAAAGAGCUUUAAACUAUGGAAAAGAGCUAAAAAUUCAACAUGAUUAGCAUUAGCAAUGCCAAUGGGGCCAGCAUCAGCCAUAUUUCAAUAUCUAACAACUCCCCCAAUACCUACUUCGUCGAGUUACCAAGUGAGCUCCCGUCAAAAUUGAGUUUAAAACAACCCUACAUCGGAGGUAUCAAUCUACCUUUAUGUUGACAUUUAGCAAUAUCUAGACGAAACAAAUUUGGAAGGUUAAGCAUAACAUCCCUGCUCAAUGACUGCCAACCAACUCCAAAGGGAAUGAUUGGUGUUAUUAAGAACUUUGUCAAAAGAUAAAAUACCUCUAUUAAAAGUUCUUUUAUUUUAUUCCUUCCAAACUUCUCACAAAAUCAGCCCUCUCCCUAUGUUCCAAAUCACAUUACCAACCUUUGGUAAGUUGGGAAAGGCCAUUUGAAUCACAACACCCAAUACACCUUGAGGCAGAAUCACCCUUAACCCCUAAUUGCAUAAAGAACCAGUCCCAAAUCUUUGAGGCAGAAGAACAAUACAAAAAUAAGUGUACCCCUGAUUCACCAUCAUCCUUACAUAUAAGACAUAUGUUUGGAAGUAUUUUAUCCCUCUUAAUGAAAUUAUUAUUAGUAUAUCAUCUUGCAUUGCUAACCGUAUGAAAACUUGUACUUGUAAGGUAUGGGCCAUUUUCAGAUUUAUACAAUUUGUGGCAAUGACCAUCGCAAAAAAGAGGAGUCUAUAAACCGAUUUCAUAGAGAACUGCGCCAUCACCUUCAGCAUCCCAUACAAUCUCAGCUACCAUAUUUGGCUGGCUGUAUACCGUAUUCAACUCCUCCAAUAAAGAAGUAAAUUGAGAAUACAGACCAUCAUCUAAUCUGUCAUAUGAAAAAUUUGAAUUCCUUACGAUUUGAUUUCUUAAAAAUUCAUAAACAUCACCCACCUUCUCAUAUGGUUGAGCCACCUUAUCAAAUAAUUUUAGAACCCGAGCCAUUUGUGAUGCGAAAAAAUACCUGAUUGCCCAUCCCCACACCGACGUGAAUUACAUUGCUAUUUUCUGGAAGGCAAAGAACUUUUGACGCCCAAUAAAUUUCAGAAUAAGAAGAGAAGGCGUUUUUUCACACGAUCAUACCAUUAAAUUGGAGUAAGAAGAGGGGUGCUUUUUUGUAAAUGCAUUUCGCCCUCCUUUGGAGAGAGAGAGAGAGAGAGAGAGAGAG